This 487-nucleotide ribosomal RNA is filed under the name uncultured bacterium. RNAcentral's name for it is "partial 16S ribosomal RNA". It matches the Rfam family "Bacterial small subunit ribosomal RNA", at positions 28 to 507 of the family's 1533-position model. The record is from RNAcentral.
GACGAACGCUAGCGAUAGGCUUAACACAUGCAAGUCGAGCGGCAGCGCAAGGUCGCUUUCUGUCUGGGUGGCGACCGGCGCACGGGUGCGUAACGCGUAUGCAACUUGCCCUCUACCGGCGGAUAAACCGUCGAAAGGCGGACUAAUACUGCGUAUGCUCGCAACUUUGCCUCAAUUGGUCAGGGAAGGAAUUUGUUUUAGGAUAGGCAUGCCUCCCAUUCGCUUGUUGGUGAGGUAACGGCUCACCAAGGCAACGAUGGGUAGGGUAACUGAGCGGUGUAUCCCCCACACGGGUACUGAGACACGGACCAGACUCCUACGGGAGGCAGCAGUGAGGAAUAGUGGUCAAGGGGCGCGAGCCUGAACCAGCCAAGUCGCGUGAAGGAUGACUGUCUUAUGGAUGAUACUCUUCUGUUAGACGGGAAUAACAGGAGUGACGUGGGACUCGCUGCAGGUACCGGAUGAAUAAGCACCGGCUAACUACGUG